GGCGACAUGGCCAAGUGGUAAGGCGGAAGUCUGCAAAACUUCUACUCCCCAGUUCGAAUCUGGGUGUCGCCU
Molecule: transfer RNA, 72 nt
Filed under: Candidatus Melainabacteria bacterium
Lineage: Bacteria; Bacillati; Candidatus Melainabacteria
Also listed under: 1 other name
Description: tRNA-Cys
Rfam family: tRNA
About the family: Transfer RNA (tRNA) molecules are approximately 80 nucleotides in length. Their secondary structure includes four short double-helical elements and three loops (D, anti-codon, and T loops).
Source: RNAcentral